AUUGAACGCUGGCGGCAUGCUUUACACAUGCAAGUCGAACGGCAGCACGGGAGCUUGCUCCUGGUGGCGAGUGGCGAACGGGUGAGUAAUGCAUCGGAACGUACCCAGUAGUGGGGGAUAGCCCGGCGAAAGCCGGAUUAAUACCGCAUAUUUCCUGAGGGAGAAAGCGGGGGACCUUCGGGCCUCGCGCUACUGGAGCGGCUGAUGUCGGAUUAGCUAGUUGGUGAGGUAAAGGCUCACCAAGGCGACGAUCCGUAGCUGGUCUGAGAGGAUGAUCAGCCACACUGGGACUGAGACACGGCCCAGACUCCUACGGGAGGCAGCAGUGGGGAAUUUUGGACAAUGGGGGCAACCCUGAUCCAGCCAUGCCGCGUGGGUGAUGAAGGCCUUCGGGUUGUAAAGCCUCGUCGAGGGGACGGAAG
RNAcentral lists this ribosomal RNA (422 nucleotides) under uncultured bacterium. RNAcentral's name for it is "bacterial SSU rRNA". It matches the Rfam family "Bacterial small subunit ribosomal RNA", at positions 28 to 450 of the family's 1533-position model. The record is from RNAcentral.